Molecule: long non-coding RNA, 200 nt
Filed under: Nicotiana benthamiana
Lineage: Eukaryota; Viridiplantae; Streptophyta; Magnoliopsida; Solanales; Solanaceae
Description: long non-coding RNA (NBEN_LNC030083)
Source: RNAcentral
AUUACUUAUUUUAGAAGAGCAGUUGGUGUUAUUCAUGGAAAUAAUAGACAAUCUAGAAUAAAAGAAUUUAAGACUAAGUGUAUCCAGUAUAACCUUGCACCUAGAUUCAUGCCAGACGAAAUUGUUACUUGAUGGAAUUAUACAUAUAUAUUUUUAAAAUGUUGCUACAAAUAUAGAUUUUCCAAUAACUGAAGUUGCUA